Molecule: long non-coding RNA, 528 nt
Organism: Neogale vison (American mink)
Lineage: Eukaryota; Metazoa; Chordata; Mammalia; Carnivora; Mustelidae
Exons: 3
Source: RefSeq, a predicted model, not a curated record
ACCCUAUAAAAGUCUGAGGCAGCCCCAGGAGGACCUCUGCUGCACAGCUCUCUCCCCGAGACGUGAGGUUCAGGCCACCCCGCCAUGAGGCUUCUGGUCGUCUCCAGGCUGCUCUGCAUUUUGCUCCUCUGCUUCUCCAUCUUCUCCACAGAAGGGAGAAAAAAUUCUAGUCAUCUCAGCAGGCCCUGGAAACGCAGACCGUGCUGUUCCCGAGUUCCUAACCCUGCCCUGACGACCCGGAAAGGGCGCCGUGUGAGGAUCUGCAGACUGUGUAACUUCAAGCCAGAGUCCCGGCUUUGGGUGGUACCUGGGGCUCUCCCGCAAGUGUAAUGUUCCCCAGACAAGACUGCAUGCAGCUGAGACCCUCAUGCCCAGUGCCCAAGACCUCCAGAAGUCUUGGGUUCUCCCAGGAUGCUCCUCUUGAAGCUGGGGCUGAUGGCAAAGAUGUCAAGAGCUUUGGCCCAUGGAAGCUUCUGCCCAUGAACCACGAACCUCUUCUCUUAAAGACACAACAUUUCUUGCCUGCCG